This 813-nucleotide long non-coding RNA is filed under the name Sus scrofa (pig). Its description in RNAcentral is "lncRNA (ENSSSCG00065067563.1)". Lineage: Eukaryota; Metazoa; Chordata; Mammalia; Artiodactyla; Suidae. The record is from RNAcentral.
CAAUUACAGUGACCUCCGACAACCGCGUGUGCAUUGGCAUGCAAACGUCUCCAAGAGCCAUUGAGCCAAAACACUGCCAGAGGCUCCGUGUGACACCAGCCAAGCCCUGUUACUUGGGGGUCGUGAGUGUGACAUGCACCCACGGGAGAGGCAAGCACCCACCUGAGGACCAAGGGUGGGGCUGGGGGGCUGCCGCAGGCCCUGGCGUUUUCCUCGAUGCUUCCUCAUCCUGGGUGGGCAGCCUCAGAGCCCCCUUUGCAUGCCUUCUGCUGCGAGAGCUGUUGAAUUCAGAGAGAUGUCCCUUCGGAGAACCGCGGGUGUGAAGUCGCCCUGCCACCUGCGGAGUCAGCAACACAUUCCCUUCUGGGGGGCAUGUGCCAGAGGUCCUGGGUGGUUGAGGCUCCAGCCCCGAGUGAGAGGCGACUGCAUUUAAACAGAUCUGAAAGCAGCUGUGAUGGUGGCAGGACCUCGAGGAUAAAGAAGAAACAGGAGUUUGAUUGUCUUUAUAAGAUGUGCUCUACGCUCACCCUCUCCACGAUCAACAAGACACAGGCGUGUUCCGGUCCCCGUGUGUGGUCACGUCAGCCAGCGUGCACGUCGGAGUUGGUGCAGCCUGGGGCUCUGGUUUUCUCUCUGGAAGGAAAGGCCACAGAGAACCAUCCGAAUCGUUUUCAGGAACAGUUGGGUUACUUGCAGCUGCGCCUGUCAUGAGAGUCUGGGCUCAUGAAUUUUAUUGUGCUGAGUCCCGCUAGAGAAGGACUUUACAAACCUGUAUUUUUCUUACCUCAUAAUAAAAGCACCAGGAAGUGAGCA